AUUGAACGCUGGCGGCAUGCUUUACACAUGCAAGUCGAACGGUAACAGGCCGCAAGGUGCUGACGAGUGGCGAACGGGUGAGUAAUGCAUCGGAACGUGCCCAGUCGUGGGGGAUAACUACUCGCAAGAGUAGCUAAUACCGCAUACGAUCUAUGGAUGAAAGCGGGGGACCGUAAGGCCUCGCGCGCUUGGAGCGGCCGAUGUCAGAUUAGGUAGUUGGUGGGGUAAAGGCUCACCAAGCCAACGAUCUGUAGCUGGUCUGAGAGGACAACCAGCCACACUGGGACUGAGACACGGCCCAGACUCCUACGGGAGGCAGCAGUGGGGAAUUUUGGACAAUGGGCGCAAGCCUGAUCCAGCAAUGCCGCGUGCAGGAAGAAGGCCUUCGGGUUGUAAACUGCUUUUGUACGGAACGAAACGGCUCUGGUUAAUACCCGGGACUAAUGACAGUACCGGAAGAAUAAGCACCGGCUAACUACGUG
Molecule: ribosomal RNA, 482 nt
Filed under: uncultured bacterium
Lineage: Bacteria
Description: partial 16S ribosomal RNA
Rfam family: Bacterial small subunit ribosomal RNA
Source: RNAcentral